Molecule: ribosomal RNA, 507 nt
Filed under: uncultured bacterium
Lineage: Bacteria
Description: partial 16S ribosomal RNA
Rfam family: Bacterial small subunit ribosomal RNA
Source: RNAcentral
ACGAACGCUGGCGGCGUGCCUAAUACAUGCAAGUCGAACGCUUCUUUCCUCCCGAGUGCUUGCACUCAAUUGGAAAGAGGCGUGGCGGACGGGUGAGUAACACGUGGGUAACCUACCCAUCAGAGGGGGAUAACACUUGGAAACAGGUGCUAAUACCGCAUAACAGUUUAUGCCGCAUGGCAUAAGAGUGAAAGGUGCUUUCGGGUGUCGCUGAUGGAUGGACCCGCGGGGCAUUAGCUAGUUGGUGAGGUAACGGCUCACCAAGGCCACGAUGCAUAGCCGACCUGAGAGGGUGAUCGGCCACACUGGGACUGAGACACGGCCCAGACUCCUACGGGAGGCAGCAGUAGGGAAUCUUCGGCAAAGGACGAAAGUCUGACCGAGCAACGCCGCGUGAGUGAAGAAGGUUUUCGGAUCGUAAAACUCUGUUGUUAGAGAAGAACAAGGACGUUAGUAACUGAACGUCCCCUGACGGUAUCUAACCAGAAAGCCACGGCUAACUACGUG